This 21-nucleotide non-coding RNA is filed under the name Arabidopsis thaliana (thale cress). Lineage: Eukaryota; Viridiplantae; Streptophyta; Magnoliopsida; Brassicales; Brassicaceae. The record is from RNAcentral.
GGUAGCGGCAGUGUGCUACUG